RNAcentral lists this ribosomal RNA (2612 nucleotides) under Vibrio cholerae. Its description in RNAcentral is "partial 23S ribosomal RNA". It matches the Rfam family "Bacterial large subunit ribosomal RNA". The record is from RNAcentral. Lineage: Bacteria; Pseudomonadati; Pseudomonadota; Gammaproteobacteria; Vibrionales; Vibrionaceae.
AUUUGAGUCCACAGAGCAAACCGGGGGAACUGAAACAUCUAAGUACCCCGAGGAGAAGAAAUCAACCGAGAUUCCGGUAGUAGCGGCGAGCGAACCUGGAUUAGCCCUUAAGCACUCGGUGAAGUAGGUGAACAAGCUGGAAAGCUUGGCGAUACAGGGUGAUAGCCCCGUAACCGACGCUUCAUCGAGCGUGAAAUCGAGUAGGGCGGGACACGUGAUAUCCUGUCUGAAUAUGGGGGGACCAUCCUCCAAGGCUAAAUACUCCUGACUGACCGAUAGUGAACCAGUACCGUGAGGGAAAGGCGAAAAGAACCCCUGUGAGGGGAGUGAAAUAGAACCUGAAACCGUGUACGUACAAGCAGUAGGAGCACCUUCGUGGUGUGACUGCGUACCUUUUGUAUAAUGGGUCAGCGACUUAUAUUCAGUGGCAAGGUUAACCGUAUAGGGGAGCCGUAGCGAAAGCGAGUCUUAACUGGGCGUUCAGUCUCUGGAUAUAGACCCGAAACCGGGUGAUCUAGCCAUGGGCAGGUUGAAGGUUGAGUAACAUCAACUGGAGGACCGAACCGACUAAUGUUGAAAAAUUAGCGGAUGACUUGUGGCUAGGGGUGAAAGGCCAAUCAAACUCGGAGAUAGCUGGUUCUCCCCGAAAGCUAUUUAGGUAGCGCCUCGGACGAAUACUACUGGGGGUAGAGCACUGUUAAGGCUAGGGGGUCAUCCCGACUUACCAACCCUUUGCAAACUCCGAAUACCAGUAAGUACUAUCCGGGAGACACACGGCGGGUGCUAACGUCCGUCGUGGAGAGGGAAACAACCCAGACCGCCAGCUAAGGUCCCAAAGUAUUGCUAAGUGGGAAACGAUGUGGGAAGGCUCAGACAGCUAGGAUGUUGGCUUAGAAGCAGCCAUCAUUUAAAGAAAGCGUAAUAGCUCACUAGUCGAGUCGGCCUGCGCGGAAGAUGUAACGGGGCUAAGCAAUACACCGAAGCUGCGGCAAUGUCUUUUAGACAUUGGGUAGGGGAGCGUUCUGUAAGCCGUUGAAGGUGAAUCGUAAGGUUUGCUGGAGGUAUCAGAAGUGCGAAUGCUGACAUGAGUAACGACAAAGGGGGUGAAAAACCUCCUCGCCGGAAGACCAAGGGUUCCUGUCCAACGUUAAUCGGGGCAGGGUGAGUCGACCCCUAAGGUGAGGCCGAAAGGCGUAAUCGAUGGGAAACGGGUUAAUAUUCCCGUACUUCUGACUAUUGCGAUGGGGGGACGGAGAAGGCUAGGUGGGCCAGGCGACGGUUGUCCUGGUUCAAGUGCGUAGGCUUGAGAGUUAGGUAAAUCCGGCUCUCUCUAAGGCUGAGACACGACGUCGAGCUGCUACGGCAGUGAAGUCAUUGAUGCCAUGCUUCCAGGAAAAGCCUCUAAGCUUCAGAUAGUCAGGAAUCGUACCCCAAACCGACACAGGUGGUCGGGUAGAGAAUACCAAGGCGCUUGAGAGAACUCGGGUGAAGGAACUAGGCAAAAUGGUACCGUAACUUCGGGAGAAGGUACGCUCUUGAUGGUGAAGUCCCUCGCGGAUGGAGCUGACGAGAGUCGCAGAUACCAGGUGGCUGCAACUGUUUAUUAAAAACACAGCACUGUGCAAAAUCGCAAGAUGACGUAUACGGUGUGACGCCUGCCCGGUGCCGGAAGGUUAAUUGAUGGGGUUAGCGCAAGCGAAGCUCUUGAUCGAAGCCCCGGUAAACGGCGGCCGUAACUAUAACGGUCCUAAGGUAGCGAAAUUCCUUGUCGGGUAAGUUCCGACCUGCACGAAUGGCGUAAUGAUGGCCACGCUGUCUCCACCCGAGACUCAGUGAAAUUGAAAUCGCUGUGAAGAUGCAGUGUACCCGCGGCUAGACGGAAAGACCCCGUGAACCUUUACUACAGCUUGGCACUGAACAUUGAACCUACAUGUGUAGGAUAGGUGGGAGGCUAUGAAGACGUGACGCCAGUUGCGUUGGAGCCGUCCUUGAAAUACCACCCUUGUAUGUUUGAUGUUCUAACUUAGACCCAUUAUCUGGGUUGAGGACAGUGCCUGGUGGGUAGUUUGACUGGGGCGGUCUCCUCCCAAAGAGUAACGGAGGAGCACGAAGGUGGGCUAAUCACGGUUGGACAUCGUGAGGUUAGUGCAAUGGCAUAAGCCCGCUUAACUGCGAGAAUGACGGUUCGAGCAGGUGCGAAAGCAGGUCAUAGUGAUCCGGUGGUUCUGUAUGGAAGGGCCAUCGCUCAACGGAUAAAAGGUACUCCGGGGAUAACAGGCUGAUACCGCCCAAGAGUUCAUAUCGACGGCGGUGUUUGGCACCUCGAUGUCGGCUCAUCACAUCCUGGGGCUGAAGUCGGUCCCAAGGGUAUGGCUGUUCGCCAUUUAAAGUGGUACGCGAGCUGGGUUUAGAACGUCGUGAGACAGUUCGGUCCCUAUCUGCCGUGGGCGUUGGAAGAUUGAAGGGGGCUGCUCCUAGUACGAGAGGACCGGAGUGGACGAACCUCUGGUGUUCGGGUUGUGUCGCCAGACGCAUUGCCCGGUAGCUAAGUUCGGAAUUGAUAAGCGCUGAAAGCAUCUAAGCGCGAAGCGAGCCCUGAGAUGAGUCUUCCC